This is a long non-coding RNA of Lytechinus pictus (painted urchin), 272 nucleotides long. RefSeq lists it as uncharacterized. The transcript is spliced from 3 exons. The record is from RefSeq and is a predicted model, not a curated record. Lineage: Eukaryota; Metazoa; Echinodermata; Echinoidea; Temnopleuroida; Toxopneustidae.
GCAGAAAACAAUAUGGCAUUAAAAGUCGCAAUUGUCGGUGUUCUUCUGGUUGCUCUUUUGAUUGCAACUAAUGUUUCCAGCGAAGAUAUAUCUCUGAGCGAAGAGGACUUUGGGGGAUUUCCAGAACCUAGUGCGUACCAGAAGUGCAUGUUUGAUAUGGGGGAUGAAUCAUUUUGCAGACAACUUAAACCCUUUGAGCAAUGGACUGAAGAGCAAUGAAACGCGAGAUAAAUGGGAUAGAAAGCUGCCCAUUCUUCUGGAUCAACAUGCAG